This is a non-coding RNA of Acanthosepion pharaonis, 112 nucleotides long. Lineage: Eukaryota; Metazoa; Mollusca; Cephalopoda; Sepiida; Sepiidae. The record is from the annotation of a GenBank genome assembly.
UAUGGCCAUAUCAUUUUAAAACAACAGUUUCCUUAUAAUCACUGAAGUUAAGCAACAUCAAGCUUGGUCAGUACCUAGAUGUGUGACCACUUGGGAAUACUGGAUGCUGAAA